This 65-nucleotide transfer RNA is filed under the name Mezira sp. RNAcentral describes it as "tRNA-Glu". It matches the Rfam family "tRNA". Rfam says of the family: Transfer RNA (tRNA) molecules are approximately 80 nucleotides in length. The record is from RNAcentral. Lineage: Eukaryota; Metazoa; Arthropoda; Insecta; Hemiptera; Aradidae.
AUUUAUGUAGUUUAUGUAAAAACUUAUCAUUUUCAAUGAUAAAAUAGGUCAAACCCUUUUAAAUA